This 19316-nucleotide long non-coding RNA is filed under the name Triticum aestivum (bread wheat). Its description in RNAcentral is "long non-coding RNA (TAES_LNC024828)". The record is from RNAcentral. Lineage: Eukaryota; Viridiplantae; Streptophyta; Magnoliopsida; Poales; Poaceae.
CUGCUGCCCGUGGCCGUGGGGGACGCCGAGGGGGAGCAGAGCGAGGGCGAGGCCGAGUACUCUGAGCACCUCAAGGUCUUCGUCGGAUACUAGUAGUCGUUACGUCCAAGGGAUGUGGCUCCGUUCAAGAUUCCGGCGUCAGUUGCGUGCUGGUUGGGGGUCCAUCGCCAAGGUGAAGGGGAGAUUUACUUGCUCAUCCGCUCUUUGAUUCGUUUCCCGGUCUUCAUUUCGUCUCUUCAAAACUGCAGGCUAGGUGUUUGUGGAAUUGCCUGCCUCCUUUGCAACUGCAACGGCAACGCCAGCAAAGUAAGGAACGCUAAGGCUAGGCAGAACAAGGAAAGGGAAGGAUGACCAUGCUGUGGGGGCUGGCGGCGUACAUGGUGUGGGCGGUGCUCGCCGGGUGGGUGUCGGCAUGCCUGCUGGUCGCCAACGAGAUCGCCCGCGGCAUGCGGGCCGGGGAGAUUGGCCCCUUCGUCGUGGGGUGAAUCUCACUUCGGGAAUCCUCCCUUCUGACUCCUUCAUGCAGGUGCUCUGCUCUGAACCUUCUGCUCUAGUUUCUUUGCUAGUAAAUUGAUGAACAUGGGGAUACAUUUUUUGCUUACCCUAUCUGCUCUGUAUCCUGAAAUACACGUCGGCUAUGUGUUAAUUGGCUUUGAGAUUUGUGUUUGCCAAAUAUAUUCAAGUACCUAACAAGAGGCUAAUGAGAGACUUUAUACAGAGUAGUUUUAUCUACAUCAGUUAUCGUGUAUUAGGGAGAACUGAUACAUUUUUCCAAGUCAUUUCUGUCAUGAUUAGGAUAGAGACUUCAGAGUCAGGACGUUUUGUUUUAGUGUAGUGUCAGGUUGUCCAAGGGAUUUGGAAUUGUUGCUGUGUAGAUUGUGUCCUCCAGGAUAGGAUAAGGUACUGUAAAUUUUUCUCGGCAUGAAGUAAGUUGGAGUUUGUUCAGUACUUCAGAGGCCUCGUAAAUCACUACAACAAGUGAAUGCUCAAUUGUACCAGAGCUGCGCAUGGACGUGGAGUUGUUAUACUGGUAUAGGUUAUUUUUCUUCUGGAUAAGAUAAGAUGUUGUAAAAUAGUCUCGGCUUGAACUAAGUUCAAAUUGGUUCAGUAAAUCACUACGCAAAUGAAUGCUCCAUUGCAGCAGAGCUGCACAUGGACGUGGAGUUUUUAUACAAUGGAUAACCAAGUAUUCUGCUAGGGUUAAAUUUAAUUAAGAAUGCUGUUCUGCACUUUUGCUUAUUUUACGAUCCUCCUUUUGCCCAUUUUAUUUCCUUAGGCAAUGUACUCUGAUUCAGCCAGGACAUCACACGACCGUGCUCUGUUUCUUCUGAGGUCCAGCCUGAUUCGAGCUUCCUGGACAGCCACAAGGCAUGCCUUGGCCGCCAUUGAGCAGAAUGCCGCUGGUGGCCAGCGGCGACAAAGUGCCGUCUCAGCGGACAAGGGAGUAUCAAGCGAGACAUCAUCAUCAUCAAGCGAGCAUGGGAGUUUUUCCUGCAAGCAAGUAUCUCAUUAUCCUUACCUUCAUCUGAACCACACUUGCAUUUUUAAAUCUUUGGAGAUGGCGUAGGAUAAGGCCCAGAUGAACGCUUGUGGAAAUAUUACAGCCCCACUGUUAGGAGUACAAGUUUAGUCCUGACAGACUGGGCGUAAGUGGAUUGGUUUGCCUUUUGAUUAGUAUAAGUAGAUGGUAGCAGACCUGGACAAAUAACAUUGGAUCUUAAUAUCUCAUGACAUUGAGUAGAGGACAAGAGAUCGGAUGAGUCUUGUUGUCACAUGUGGUUCGGAUGGUCAAAGUAGAUGAUAGUUGGAUCCGAGCACCCAAUCAGUGAUGCUCUGCCGCCCGAUUUAAAAUGGUCAUAUAGAGUCAUAUUUUGCUCUAAGUAUUGUUGUAAUUCUUGAGUUGUAAAUCAAUAAAAGUGUGAUGAUCUUCAUUAUUAGAGGAUUGUCCCAAGUAAGGAAAGGAUGAUGAAGACUAUGAUUUCCCCACAAGUCGGUAUGAGACUUCGGACUUUACAAAAAUAAAAGAGGCCAAAGAAGCCCACGAAAAAAGGAAAAAAAGAAAGAGAAAAAAAGGAAAAAAGGAAAAAAAAAGGGAAAAAAGAAAGAAAGAAAGAAAAAUGAGAGAAAAGAGAGAAGGGGCAAUGCUACUAUCCUUUUUACCACACUUGUGCUUCAAAGCAGCACUAUGAUCUUCAUAAUAGAGAGUCUCCUAUGUUGUCACUUUCAUAUACUAGUGAGAAUUUUUCAUUAUAGAACUUGGCUUGUACUCCCUCCGUUCCUAAAUAUAAGUCUUUCUAGAGAUUGCACCAAGUGACUACAUACGGAGCAAAAUGAAUAAAUCUACAUUUUAAAAUAUGUCUGUAUACAUCCAUAUGUUGUAUUCUAUUUGAAAUGUCUAAAAAGGCUUAUAUUUAGGAACGGAGGGAGUAUAUUCCAAUGAUGGGUUCCUCAAAAUGCCCUAGGUCUUCGUGAGCAAGCAAGUUGGAUGCACACCCACUUAGUUUCUUUUGUUGAGCUUUCAUACAUUUAUAGCUCUAGUACAUCCGUUGCAUGGCAAUCCCUACUCACUCACAUUGAUAUCUAUAAACGGGCAUCUUCAUAGCUCGUUGAUAUGCCUAGUUGAUGUGAGACUAUCUUCUCUCUUUUUGUCUUCUCCACAACCACCAUUCUAUUCCACAUGUAGUGCUAUGUCCAUGGCUUACGCUCAUGUAUUGCGUGAAAGUUGAAAAAGGUUUGAGAUUACUAAAGUAUGAAACAAUUGCUUGGCUUGUCAUCGGGGUUGUGCAUGGUUAAAUACUUUGUGUGAUCAAGAUAGAGCAUAGCCAGACUAUAUGAUUUUGUAGGGAUAACUUUCUUUAGCCAUGUUAUUUUGAGAAGACAUGAUUGCUUUAUUAGUAUGCUUGAAGUAUUAUUAUUUCUUAUGUCAAUAUGAACUUUUAUUUUGAAUCAUUUGGAACUGAACAUUCAUGCCACAAUAAAGAAAACUACAUUGAGAAUUAUGCUAGGUAGCAUUCCACAUCAAAAAUUCUGUUUUUAUCAUUUACCUACUUGAGGACGAGCAGGAAUUAAGCUUGGGGAUGCUUGAUAUGUCUCCAACGUAUCUAUAAUUUUCGAUUGUUCCAUGCUAUUAUAUUACCCGUUUUGGAUGUUUAUGGGCUUUACUUUACACUUUUAUAUCAUUUUUGGGACAAACCUACUAGCGGAGGCCCAACCCGAAUUGCUGUUUUUUUGUCUAUUUCAGUGUUUCGAAGAAAAGGAAUAUCAAACGGAGUCCAAACGGAAUGAAACCUUCGGCAGCGAUCUUUUUGGAACGUGAUCCAGAGGACUUGGAGUGGAAGUCAAGAAACAAAUGAGGCGGCCACGAGGGUGGAGGGCGCGCCCCCCUACUGGGUGCGCCCCCCUGUCUCAUGGGCCCCUCGAGCGUCCACCGACCUACUUCUUCCUCCUAUAUAUACCCAUGUACCCCGAAAACAUCAGAAGCGACCACGAAAAACUAUUUCCAUCGCCGUAACCUUCUGUAUCCGCGAGAUCCCAUCUUGGAGCCUUCGCCGGCGCUCCGCCGGAGGGGGAAUCGAUCAUGGAGGGCUUCUACAUCAACACCAUAGCCCUUCCGAUGAGUUGUGAGUAGUUUACCACAGACCUUCGAGUCCAUAGUUAUUAGCUAGAUGGCUUCUUCUCUCUCUUUGAAUCUCAAUACAAAGUUCUCCUCGAUCUUCUUGGAGAUCUAUUUGAUGUAACUCUUUUUGCGGUGUGUUUGUCGAGAUCCGAUGAAUUGUGGGUUUAUGAUCAAGUUUAUCUAUGAGAAAUAUUUGAAUCUCCUCUGAAUUCUUUUAUGUGUGAUCAAGUUAUCUUUGCAAGUCUCUUCGAAUUAUCAAUUUGGUUUGGCCUACUAGAUUGAUCUUUCUUGCAAUGGGAGAACUGCUUAGCUUUGGGUUCAAUCUUGCGGUGUCCUUUCCCAGUGACAGCAGGGGCAGCAAGGCACGUAUUGUAUUGUUGCCAUCGAGGAUAAAAAUAUGGGGUUUAUAUCAUAUUGCAUGAGUUUAUCCCUCUACAUCAUGUCAUCUUUCUUAAUGCGUUACUCUGUUCUUUAUGAACUUAAUACUCUAGAUGCAUGCUGGAUAGCGGUCGAUGUGUGGAGUAAUAGUAGUAGAUGCAAAAUCGUUUCGAUCUACUUGUCACGGACAUGAUGCCUAUAUACAUGAUCAUGCCUAGAUAAUCUCAUAAUUAUUCGCUUUUCUAUCAAUUGCUCGACAGUAAUUUGUUGACCCACGGUAAUACUUAUGCUAUCUUGAGAGAAGCCACUAGUGAAACCUAUGGUCCCCCGGGUCUAUCUUUUAUCAUAUAAGUUUUCAAUCUACUUUUAUUUGCAUCUUUUACUUUUUCAAUCUAUAUCAUAAAAAUACCAAAAAUAUUAUCUUAUCAUAUUAUCUCUAUCAGAUCUCACUUUCGCAAGUGGCCGUGAAGGGAUUGACAACCCCUUUAUUGCGUUGGUUGCGAGUUCUUGUUUGUUUGUGUAGGUGCGUGGGACUUUUGAGGAGCCUCCUACUGGAUUGAUACCUUGGUUCUCAAAAACUAAGGGAAAUAGUUAUGCUACUGUGCUGCAUCAUCCUUUCCUCUUCAAGGAAAACCAACGAAAGCUCAAGACGUGGCAGUCAACAAAAGUAAUAUUAGGACACCCAAACCCCUUGAGCAAAUUAAAGUUGAACCUAGUAUUGCUAUGGUUAAAUAUAUCUUGGCUGAUAAUAUUGAAGGGCAUGUUAUUUACUUCUGCAAUGAAGCUGCUAGAAUUGCUAGAGCUGAUGCUAAAAAUAAACAUAGACCUGCUGUAGGCAUGCCUGUUAUUUCUGUUAAAAUAGGAGAUCAUUGUUAUCAUGGCUUAUGGGAUAUGGGUGCUAGUGCAAGUGCAAUACCUCAUUCCUUAUACAAAGAAAUUAUGCAUGAUAUUGCACCUGCUGAGUUAGAGGAAAUUGAUGUCACAAUUAAGCUUUCCAAUAGAGAUACUAUUUCACCAGUCGGGAUUGUUAGAGAUGUUGAAGUCUUGUGUGGGAAAGUUAAAUAUCCUACUGAUUUUCUUGUUCUUGGUUCCCCACAAGAUGACUUUUGUCCCAUUAUAUUUGGUAGACCCUUCUUGAAUACUGUUAAUGCUAGGAUAGAUUGCAAAAAGGAUGUUGUUAUUAUUGGUUUGGGUGAUAUGUCUCAUGAGUUUAAUUUUGGUAAAUUUCGUAGACAACCCCAUGAUAAAGAAAUGUCUAGUAAAGAUGAGAUUAUUGGUCUUGCUUCUAUUGCCGUGCCCCCUAAUGAUCCUUUAGAACAAUAUUUGCUCGACCAUGAAAAUGAUAUGUUUAUGAAUGAAAGAAGGGAAAUAGAUGAAGUAUUCUUUAAUCAGGGGCCUAUUUUGAAACACAACUUGCUUGUUGAAAUCCUAGGGGAUCCUCCGCCACCCAAGGGUGAUCCCGUGUUUGAGCUUAAACCAUAACCUGAUACUCGUAAAUAUUCUUAUCUUGAUGAAAAGAAGAUAUAUCCUGUUAUUAUUAGUGCUAACCUUUCAGAGCAUGAAGAAAAGAAAUUAUUGAAAACUCUGAAGAAGCACCGUGCUGCUAUUGGAUAUACUCUUGAUGAUCUUAAGGGCAUUAGUCCCACUCUAUGCCAACACAAAAUAAAAUUGCAGAAAGAUGCUAAACCGGUUGUUGAUCACCAACGACAGUUAAAUCCUAAGAUGAAAGAAGUGGUAAGAAAAGAAAUACUAAAGCUUUUGGAGGCAGGUAUAAUUUAUCUCGUUGCUGAUAGUCAGUGGGUAAGUCAUGUCCACUGUGUCCCUAAGAAGGGAGGUAUUACUGUUGUCCUAAUGAUAAAGAUGAAUUGAUCCGGAAAGAAUUGUUACAGGUUAUAGAAUGGUAAUUGAUUUCCGCAAACUAAAUAAAGCUACAAAAAAGGAUAAUUACCCUUUACCCUUUGUUGAUCAAAUGCUAGAAAGAUUAUCUAAAAAUACACAUUUUUGCUUUCUAGAUGGUUAUUCUGGUUUCUCUCAAAUACCUGUGUCAAAAGAGGAUCAAGAAAAGACCACUUUUACUUGCCCUUUCGGUACUUUUGCUUAUAGACCUAUGCCUUUUGGUUUAUGUAAUGCACCUGCUACCUUUCAAAGAUGCAUGAUGGCUAUAUUCUCUGACUUUUGUGAAAAGAUUGUUGAGGUUUUCAUGGAUGACUUCUCUGUCUAUGGAUCUUCUUUUGAUGAUUGCUUAAGCAACCUUGAUCGAGUUUUGCAGAGAUGUGAAGAAACUAAUCUUGUCUUGAACUAGGAGAAGUGCCACUUUAUGGUUAAUGAAGGUAUUGUCUUGGGGCAUAAAAUUUCUGAAAGAGGUAUUGAAGUUAAUAAAGCUAAAGUUGAUGCUAUUGAAAAGAUAACGUGUCCCAAGGACAUUAAAGGUAUAGGAAGUUUCCUUGGUCAUGCCGGUUUUUAUAGGAGGUUCAUUAAGGACUUCUCAAAAAUUUCUAGGCCUCUGACUAAUCUCUUACAAAAAGAUAUUCCUUUUGUCUUUGAUGAUGAUUGUGUAGAAGCAUUCAAAAUACUUAAGAAAGCUUUGAUUUCUGCAGCUAUUGUUCAGCCACCUGAUUGGAAUUUACCCUUUGAAAUUAUGUGUGAUGCUAGUGAUUAUGCCGUAGGUGCUGUUUUAGGGAAAAGAGUUGAUAAGAAAUUAAAUGUUAUCCAAUAUGCUAGUAAAACUCUAGACAGUGCCUAGAGAAAUUAUGCUACUACUGAAAAAGAAUUUUUAGCAGUUGUAUUUGCUUGUGAUAAGUUCAGACCUUACAUUGUUGACUCUAAAGUAACUGUUCACACUGAUCAUGCUGCUAUUAAAUAUCUUAUGGAAAAGAAAGAUGCUAAACCUAGACUUAUUAGAUGGCUUCUCUUACUACAAGAAUUUGAUUUGCAUAUUAUUGAUAGAAAGGGAGCUAAGAACCCCGUUGCAGACAACUUGUCUAGGUUAGAGAAUGUUCUUGAUGACCCACUACCUAUUGAUGAUAGCUUUCCUGAUGAACAAUUAGCUGUCAUAAAUGCUUCUCGUACUGCUCCAUGGUAUGCUUAUUAUGCUAAUUACAUCGUUGCUAAAUUUAUACCACCUAGUUUCACAUACCAGCAAAAGAAAAAGUUUUUCUAUGAUUUAAGACAUUACUUCUGGGAUGACCCACACCUUUAUAAAGAAGGAGUAGAUGGUGUUAUUAGACGUUGUGUACCUGAGCAUGAACAGGAACAGAUCCUACGCAAGUGUCACUCCGAAGCUUAUGGAGGACACCACGCUGGAGAUAGAACUGCACAUAAGGUAUUGCAAUCCGUUUUUUAUCGGCCUAUCCUCUUCAAGGAUGCCCGUAAGUUUGUCUUGUCUUGCGAUGAAUGUCAAAGAAUUGGUAAUAUUAAUUGUCAGGGAAAUGACACCUAUGGGAUCACUGGAAUCCCUUCUAUGGUUGGCGGGCGCAGGGUUGGGAGAAGAGCAGGUCUAACAGGAAGCACACGGAUCGUUUACCAAGGUUCGGGCUGCGAGGAUGCGUAAUACCCUAGUCCUACUUUGGUGGGUGUAUUGAGUGUUCUUGAGCUAGCUAUGGGGUGUAACUUGCCCAAAAGAGCCGAAUCCCUCUCCUGGUCGCCUCGGGCCUCCUUUUAUAGGCAAAAGGGGUUGCCACAGUGGCACACAGGAGGUGGAAAGGUCUACAGCGCGCGAGCUUAUCGCCCGGCGUUACAGGACAAAGCGCAUUAAAUGUGCUACUUAGGUGUCCAUUAGCUUUAUUGGGACGGGGACGAGGCCCGUCCCGUCCGUCGCCGCUCCGCUUCGCUUUGACACGCGCCCAGGCCAGCGACGUGUGCGGUGCCAUGUAGGCAGGCAGGCAGCUGAGGUGGCGCGGUGGCAGGGCCUUCACGAAGAUAUGCAUGCCAUCACGCAGGUGCUUGCCGAGUUGGUGUAGAGGCCGCCCGUCGCCACGCAGGUGCCUGCCCAGCUGGUUGAGCUAGCAGCUGCUUGGGGACGGCGGUGGAUUCUUGGCUGGUGCGGGCCUGGCAGUGGCCCCGCUGAUGUCCUCGGCAAGGGCCUUGCCGGGGGCCUGGCAAGGGUCUUGUCGUGGCGUCGCAGUCGUCCCUGGCAAGGCGCUUGCCGGGGGUCUUGUGGAUCUCCUCGGCUAGGAUCCCGCCAAGGGUCGCCGUCUUCUGGUCCUCAUCUGAUCUUGUGUGUUUAUGAUCUUGACAAAGAUCUGCACGCCACCUCAGAGGUGCCUCCCGAGCCUUGGUUCCAACGUAGUCGUUGGCGGCGUUUGGAACUCUUGGGCUCGAGGGUGGCUCACUCUACUGGUACUGGGCAAGUUCCCCCAACAAGGCUCUUGCCGGGGCCGCGGAGGCCACCCUGGCAAGGGCCUUGCCGGGGGAGUCCACCUCGCCCCUUUGCUCUCCUGUGUUUCUGGUCUUGGCGUUGCCCCGGUUGCCUUGCGCUUCGGCUUCUCUCCGGCUUCCCUCUUCUGCCCUGCUAGGUGUGUCCGUGGCGCGCGGCUCUGACUGCCCGUGCACAAGUAAAGGGGUCAAAAGGAGAGCCCCUACUUUUGUACACCGACAGGAGCCCCCGGGCCUGGGCCACACCUAAGCGUGACGCGUUGUUGAGCCAGGCCCAGAACGGUGCGCGGGCGGGUGGGGCGGAUUUCACCGUAGUAACCGUUUCGUCCACUGCGCUUCCCCACGACCCGCGUUGAAUGCGCGACAUGGAGGAUCGCGCGUGACAUGGGGGUCGUGCGUGGGGCAGUUCCUGCACGCUUGUGUCACAUCGCAGUUAAUGGGAAAAGAGGCGGCCCGCGCCUUCCCCAUAAAAAGGAAUAACUGCGGGCGCGCUGCUCAUUUACCCCUGCAUCUUCUCCAAUCUCGGAACUGCCGUCCCCUUCUCCUUCCUUCCCAAGCUUUCGCCUUUGCUCGCCGCCACUGUGUCUUCGCUGUCUUCUGUCCCUUGCUCCCCGCAGCCGCCAUGGCACCCAAGACUAGCAGAGGCAAGGGAGUGGCCAAGGACGCCUGGACGAGCGAGCCACCGAAGAGCAAGUUGGCGGCGCGGCGGACGCAGCUCGCCUACUUCCCCUCAACGGUCGACGUGUUCGAGCUCCGGGACUGCUUCAAGCCCCUAUGGGGGUGCAAGACGGGGGGGGGGAGACAACGGAGCAUCCAGCCACGCGUAUCAUCCCCGCCAAUUGCAGCGAGGCCACCCCGAAUCGGUACCCGUUCUUCGUCGAUUACUUUUCUUGCGGCUUUUGCCCCCUUUCUCCGAUUUCUUCAACGAUAUCAUGCACACAUUUGGCUUCCACCUUCUGGAUUUUACUCCAAACGCCGUGGCGUGCAUGGCUCUGUUCGCCCACCUCUGUGAGGGCUUCGCCGGAGUUCUUCCCAACACGGCGCUCUUCCGACAUUAUUUUUACCCUCGCAUCCAGAAGGGGGCGCCAUUUCUGACUGUGUCACCUGGAUCCCAAGGUCCCAAGGGACGUACCCAGAGGGUGCCCAGAAGGAGAGGUGGGAAGAAUGGCGGGGCCAGUGGUGCUGGAUCGAGGACGACGAUCCACAAGAGUUCUGUCGGGUCCGCCAGGCGCCGCCGGUCCGCAGGAACAACUGGGGCGACGUCGACGCCCAGGACGACAAGCUCGAGAUCGCCACCACUAGGAUUCUCCGCCUCACCGCUGCCGGGCUUACCCUGGAUAUGAUUGGGGCAGAUUUCCUACGCCGCCGAAUCGCCCCUUUGCACAACAAGGGGAGGCCGGCCUGGCUUUUCCAGAACGCGGUUGACAUCAUGAGGCUCUGCCCCGGCCUCAAUCACAACUUCACGGUGAUGGGGCACGCUCACUUUUCCCAGCGGAUCUUUCAGCUCGACGUGAACCGUGAAGGCUGGGCCGAGAGGUCCGGGAAGGCUGCGAAGGCUGGCAAGGUCGUCAAGGGGCCCUUGUUUGGGUUGCCGGCGGGGGUGGUCCCUCUGAGCAACAACUCGCGCCAGACCGACAUCAUCGCCAUGAUGCCGGACUGCAACGCGCACGGUCCUGUCCAAAAUUGGGCCCCGCCACCGGAGGAGCAGGUGCAGGAGUUCUUUGAUGGGUUGGCGGAGAUAUACGUCUGCAAGGAGCCACUGCUUAUCCAGGACACCACUAAGGCAGAGCUGGAUUAUAUCGCCGCCAGGGCGGUGGAGGCGGAGCUUGUCAGGGAGGCCGACAGUGCUGGCGGCGUAGAGGACGAGGCCGCAGUGGCCGCGGAGGAGAAGGAGCUUACCCAGUGGGCGGAGUCCACUGGGGAAGCCAGCCGCGCCGGCACCGGGGCCCCUCUUGUCGAAGAUGUGCUCGACGAGUCGUCGGAGGAGGAGGCCGAGGCUGUCGAUCCUCCGGACACGGGGAGAGGGCGAGUCCUGCGGCGGGCCACCUCUGGCGAGCCGGUUCGGCCCGGCAGGGUCGUGCAGCCCUGGCAAGCUCAGGAGGCGUCCGCGCGCCAAACGAGGGCCGCGGCUGCGAAGAAAUCAAUGAAGGCUGCGGUGGCGAAGGAGAAAGCAUCUGCCUCUCCUUCAUCCAAGCGCGCCCAGACUCCGCCCUCCUCCCCUCCCCCGGCAGACGUCGACGCGGAGGUCACCUUUGACUUCGGGUCCCUCAGCCCAAGGAGGAAGAGGAAAGCAGCAGAGGAGGUGGAGGACGAGUAAGUAUCUUGUCCCUUUCUGUCAUCUCCGUAUCCUCGGAUCGUGCCACUUAUCUUGAUUCAUUUUCACUUUUGCAGGGAUGCGGAGACACUGGCCCGGAGGGUGAAGAGGGACAGGGCUUCGGCGAGUGGCCAGCCCCCGGCAGGGACUUCCGGUACACCGCUGGUGGUGUUGAGCAGCCCGGAUAGCAGCCCCCGGCACAGCCCUCAGCAGAAGUUCACUCACCCCUCGUCGACGUGUGUUGGGGGCACGAUCUCUUGGUGCUGACCUUGCCGUGGUUGCAGGAGGAGGACAGUAGUAGGAGGAGCCACAGAGGGCUACCCCCAACACGCCGCCCCCAUCAACCACGCCGCCCCGGGGGGCGUCCCCGGCAAGGGCGUCAACCACGCCGCCCCGGGGGGCAUCCCCGGCGCUGGUGGCUUCGCCUCGGCACCAAAUGUUGGCGGGGAGGGGACCUCUGCUUCUCAGCCCGGCACGGGUAAGUCACUCGCCUUCCAUCCCUGUUCUUUUUCUUUCCUUUCUAAAUCUUGGCCUUGGCUUUGCCUCAUCCCCUUCUCGUUAUCCAGAUCCCCCCUCGGCGGACCCAGAGGAAAUAGACACCGUCAUCGGGGACGUUGCCAAGGCUGCCGAGGCGGAGGCCGAGAAGAUCGCUGCUGAGGAGGCCACCAAGGGCGCUACCGAGGACGCCGCCAAGGGGCCUGCCGGGGAGCCCGGUAAGGCUGCUGCCGAGGAGGCCGACAAGGGGUCUGUCGGGGAGGCCGGCAAGUCCGCUGCCGAGGAGGAGCUGGUCGAUGACCAGCCUUCCUCCUUGCUACGUCUUGAGCUUGCGUUGGUUUUCCUUGAAGAGGAAAGGGUGAUGCAGCAAUAGUAGCGCAAGUAUUUCCCUCAGUUUUUGAGAACCAAGGUAUCAAUCCAGUAGGAGGCUCCUCAAAAGUCCCACGCACCUACACAAACAAACAAGAACUCGCAACCAACGCAUUAAAGGGGUUGUCAAUCCCUUCACGACCACUUGCAAAAUUGAGAUCUGAUAGAGAUAAUAUGAUAAGAUAAAUAUAUUUUUGGUAUUUUAUAAUAUGGAUUUGAAAAGUAAAGAUGCAAAUAAAAGUAGAUGGCAAACUUAUAUGAUAAAAGAUAGACCCGGGGCCAUAGGUUUCAAUAGUGGCUUCUCUCAAGAUAGCAUAAGUGUUACGGUGGGUGAACAAAUUACUGUCGUUCAAUUGAUAGGAAAGCGACUAAUUAUGAGAUUAUCUAGGCAUGAUCAUGUAUAAAGGCAUCACGUCCGUGACAAGUAGACCGAAAUGAUUCUGCAUCUACUACUAUUACUCCACACAUCCACCGCUAUCCAGCAUGCAUCUAGAGUAUUAAGUUCAUAAAGAACAGAGUAAUGCAUUAAGAAAGAUGACAUGAUGUAGAGGGAUAAACUCAAGCAAUAUGAUAUAAACCCCAUCUUUUUAUCCUCGAUGGCAACAAUACAAUACGUGCCUUGCUGCCCCUGCUGUCACUGGGAAAGGACACCGCAAGAUUGAACCCAAAGCUAAGCACUUCUCCCAUUGCAAGAAAGAUCAAUCUAGUAGGCCAAACCAAACUGAUAAUUCGAAGAGACUUGCAAAGAUAACUUAAUCACACACAAAAGAAUUCAGAGGAGAUUCAAAUAUUUCUCAUAGAUAAACUUGAUCAUAAACCCACAAUUCAUCGGAUCUCGACAAACACACCGCAAAAAGAGUUACAUCGAAUAGAUCUCCAAGAAGAUUGAGGAGAACUUUGUAUUGAGAUUCAAAGAGAAAGAAGAAGCCAUCUAGCUAAUAACUAUGGACCCGAAGGUCUGUGGUAAACUACUCAAAACUCAUCGGAAGGGCUAUGGUGUUGAUGUAGAAGCCUUCCGUGAUCGAUUCCCCCUCCGGCGGAGCGCCGGCGAAGGCUCCAAGAUGGGAUCUCGCGGAUACAGAAGGUUACGGCGGUGGAAAUAGUUUUUCAUGGGCGCUUUUGAUGUUUUCGGGGUACAUGGGUAUAUAUAGGAGGAAGAAGUAGGUCGGUGGACGCUCGAGGGGCCCACGAGAUAGGGGGCACACCUAGUAGGGGGGGCGCCCUCCACCCUCGUGGCCGCCUCAUUUGUUUCUUGACUUCCACUCCAAGUCCUCUGGAUCACGUUUGUUCCAAAAAUAUUGCUCCCGAAGGUUUCAUUCCAUUUGGACUCCGUUUGAUAUUCCUUUUCUUCGAAAUACUGAAAUAGGCAAAAAAACAGCAAUACGGGCUGGGCCUCCGGUUAGUAGGUUAGUCCAAAAAAUGAUAUAAAAGUGUAUAGUAAAGCCCAUAAACAUCCAAAACACGUAAUAUAAUAGCAUGGAACAAUAAAAAUUAUAGAUACGUUGGAUACGUAUCAAGCAUCCCCAAGCUUAAUUCCUGCUCGUCCUCGAGUAGGUAAAUGAUAAAAACAGAAUUUUUGAUGUGGAAUGCUAUGUAGCAUAAUUCUCAAUGUAAUUUUCUUUAUUGUGGCAUGAAUGUUCAGAUCCAAAUGAUUCAAAAUAAAAGUUCAUAUUGACAUAAGAAAUAAUAAUACUUCAAGCAUACUAAUAAAGCAAUCAUGUCUUCUCAAAAUAACAUGGCCAAAGAAAGUUAUCCCUACAAAAUCAUAUAGUCUGGCUAUGCUCCAUCUUCAUCACACAAAAUAUUUAAUCAUGCACAACCCCGAUGACAAGCCAAGCAAUUGUUUCAUACUUUAGUAAUCUCAAACCUUUUUCAACUUUUACGCAAUACAUGAGCGUGAGCCAUGGACAUAGCACUAUAUGUGGAGUAGAAUGGUGGUUGUGGAGAAGAGAAAAAGGAGAAGAUAGUCUCACAUCAACUAGGCGUAUCAACGAGCUAUGGAGAUGCCCGUUAAAAGAUAUCAAUGUGAGUGAGUAGGGAUUGCCAUGCAACGGAUGCACUAGAGCUGUAAAUGUAUGAAAGCUCAACAAAAGAAACUAAGUGGGUGUGCAUCCAACUUGCUUGCUCACGAAGACCUACGGCAUUUUGAGGAAGCCCAUCAUUGGAAUAUAUAAGCCAAGUUCUAUAAUUAAAAAUUCCCACUAGUAUAUGAAAGUGAAAACAUAGGAGACUCUCUAUCAUGAAGAUCAUAGUGCUACUUUGAAGCACAAGUGUGGUAAAAAGGAUAGUAGCAUUGUCCCUUCUCUCUUUUUCUCUCAUUUUUUAUAUUUCUUUUCUUUCUUUUUUUCAUUUUUUCUUUUCUUCCCUUUUUUUCUUUUUCUCUUUUUUUUCCUUUUCUCUUUUUUUUCUUGGUGGGCUUCUUUUGGCCUCUUUUAUUUUAUAAAGUCCGAAGUCUCAUCCCGACUUGUGGGGGAAUCAUAGUCUUCAUCAUCCUUUCCUCACUUGGGACAAUGCUCUAAUAAUGAAGAUCAUCACACUUUUAUUGAUUUACAACACAAGAAUUACAACAAUACUUAGAACAAAAUAUGACUCUAUGUGAAUGCCUCCGAUGGUGUACCGGGAUAUGCAAUGAACCAAGAGUGACAUGUAUGAAAAUUAUGAAGGUGGCUUUGCCACAAAUACGAUGUCAACUACAUGAUCAUGCAAAGAGCAAUAUGACAAUGAUGAUGCGUGUCAUAAUAAAUGGAACGGUGGAAAGUUGCAUGGCAAUAUAUCUCGGAAGGCUAUGGAAAUGCCAUGAUAGGUAGGUAUGGUGGCUGUUUUGAGGAAGGUAAUAGGUGGGUGUAUGAUACCGGCGAAAGUUGCGUGGCACAAGAGAGGCUAGCAAUGGUGGAAGGGUGGAAGUGUGUAUAAUCCAUGGACUCAACAUUAGUCAUAAUGAACUCAUAUACUUAUUGCAAAAAUCUACUAGUCUUUGAAAACAAAUUACUACGCGCAUGCUCCUAGGGGGAUAGAUUGGUAGGAAAAGACCAUCGCUCGUCCCCGACCGCCACUCAUAAGGAAGACAAUCAAUAAAUAAAUUAUGCUCCGACUUCAUCACAAAGCGGUUCACCAUACGUGCAUGCUACGGGAAUCACAAACUUCAACACAAGUAUUCUUUAAAUUCACAAUUACCCAACUAGCACGACUCUAAUAUUACCACCUCUAUAUCUCAAAACAAUUAUCAAGAAUCAAAUUGAUCAUAGCAUCCAAUUCACUUCUUAUGACAGUUUUUAUUAUACCCAACUUGGAUGCCCAUCAUUUUAGGACCAAUUUUAUAACCAUAGAAAAUACCAUGCUGUUCUAAAAUACUCUCAAAAUAAUAUAAGUGAAGCAUGAGAGAUCAACAAUUUCUUCAAAAUUAAGCCACCGCCGUGCUCUAAAAAGUAUAAGUGAAGCACAUAGAGCAAAAACUAUCUAGCUCAAAAGAUAUAAGUGAAGCACAAAGAGUAUUCUAAUAAAUUCUAAUCAUGUGGGUUUCUCCCAAAAGGUGUGUAGAGCAAGGAUGAUUGUGGUGAUCUAAAAAGCAAAUACUAAUAUCAUACAAGACGCUCCAAGCAAAACACAUAUCAUGUGGUCAAUAAAAAUAUAGCUCCAAGUAAAGUUACCGAUAAACGAAGACGAAAGAGGGGAUGCCUUCCCGGGGCAUCCCCAAGCUUUGGAUUUUGGAUAUUAUUGAAUAUCUUGGGGUGCCUUGGGCAUCCCCAAGCUUAGGCUCUUGCCACUCCUUGUUCCAUAGUCCAUCAAAUCUUUACCCAAAACUUGAAAACUUCACAACACAAAACUCAACAGAAACUCGUAAGCUCUGUUAGCGAAAGAAAACAAAACACCACUUCAAGGUACUGUAAUGAACUCAUUCUUUAUUUAUAUUGGUGUUAAACCUACUGUAUUCCAACUUAUCUAUGGUUUAUAAACUAUUUUACUAGCCAUAGAUUCAUCAAAAAUAAGCAAACAACACACGAAAAACAGAAUCUGCCAAAAACAGAACAGUCUGUAGUAAUCUGCAACUAACGCAAACUUCUGGAACCCAAAAAUUCUACCAAAAUAGGAAGUCCUAGGCAAUUUGUCUAUUGAUCUACAGCAAAAAUAAUCAACGGAAAAUCACUUUUCUGUGAUUUACUAAAAAAAAUCUCGUGCGCGCAAAGUUUCUGUUUUUCAGCAGAAUCAAAUUAACUAUCACCAUAGGUUAUCCUAUAGGUUCUUCUUGGCACAAACACUAAUUAAAACAUGAAAACACAUCUAAACAGAAGGUAGAUGAUAAAUUUAUUACUAAACAGAAGCAAAAGCAAAAAACAAAAAUAAAAUUGGGUUGCCUCCCAACUAGCGCUAUCGUUUAACGCCCCUAGCUAGGCAUAAAAGCGAGGAUAGAUCUAAGUAGUGCCAUCUUUGGCACUUAAUUCAUAAGUAGCUCGCAUGAUAGAUUCAUAAGGUAAUUUAACUUUCUUUCUUGGAAAGUGCUCCAUGCCUUUCUUUAAUGGAAAUUGGAAUCUAAUAUUCCCUUCCUUCAUAUCAAUAAUUGCACCAAUCGUUCUAAGGAAAGGUCUACCAAGAAUAAUAGGACAAGAAAGAUUGCAAUCUAUGUCAAGAACGAUAAAAUCUACGGGCACAUAAUUCCUAUUUGCAACAAUAAGAACAUCAUUGAUUCUUCCCAUAGGAUUUUUAAUAGUGGAAUCCGCAAGGUGAAAAUUUAAAGUGCAAUCAUCAAGAUCAUGGAAACCUAGAAUAUCACAUAAAGUUUUCGGAAUCGUGGAAACACUAGCACCCAAAUCACACAAAGCAUAGCACUCAUGAUCUUUAAUUUUAAUCUUUAUAGUAGGUUCCCACUCAUCAUUAAUUUUUCUAGGUAUAGAAACUUCCCAAUUAAGUUUUUCAUCAUAAGAUUGCAUUAAAGCAUCAACAAUAUGUUUGGUAUGAGCUAUAUUUUGACUAUAAGCAUGAGGAGAAUUCAACACGGAUUGCAACAAGGAAAUAUAAUCUACUAAAGAACAAUUAUCAUAAUUAAAUUCUUUGAAAUACAAGAUAGUGGGUUCAAUGCUAUUUAAAGUCUUGACCUCUCCAAUCCCACUUUUAUCAAAUUUAGCAUCAAGAUCUAAAAACUCCGAAUCAUUGGGACGCCUUUUAAAUAAAGUUGACUCAUCUCUAGUCCCAUCAUUAUCAAGAUUCAUAUUCCAAAACAAAGAUCUAAUAGGGGAUACAUCAAUAACUUUAAGAUCUUCAUCAUUAUUUUCAUGAAAACUAGAGGAACACGCCUUUACAAAGCAAUCUUUCUUAGCACGCAAUCUAGCGGUUGUUUCUUUGUACUCAUCAAUGGAAAUUCUCAUAGCUUUGAGAGACUCAUUGAUAUCAUGCUUAGGAGGAGUAGAUCUAAGUUUCAAAGAGUCAACAUCAAGCGAAAGUCUAUCAACAUUCCUAGCCAAAUCAUCGACUUUAAGCAAUUUUUCUUCAAGCAUGGCAUUAAAAUUCUUUUGAGAGAUCAUAAAUUCUUUCACACUAUUCUCAAGAUCACAGGGCAUCUUAUUAAAAUUACCAGAAGAAUUAUUGUAGGAACUUCCAUAAUUAUUAGAGGAAUUACUAGGGAACGGUCUAGGAUUAAAGUUUCCUCUAUAAGCAUUGUUACCAAAAUUAUUCCUACCAACAAAAUUCACAUCCAUAGAUUCAUUAUUAUUCUCAAUCAAAGUAGACAAAGGCAUAUCAUUGGGAUCAAUAGAAGCACUCUUAGUAGCAAACAAUUUCAUAAGUUCAUCCAUCUUUCCACUCAAAACAUUAAUUUCUUCUAUAGCAUGCACUUUCUUACUAGUAGAUCUUUCGGUGUGCCAUUGAGAAUAAUUAGCCAUAAUGUUAUCAAGGAGUUUAGUAGCUUCUCCUAAAGUGAUUUCCAUAAACGUGCCUCCCGCGGCCGAAUCUAAAAGAUUUCUAGAAGCAAAAUUCAAGCCGGCAUAAAAAUUUUGUAUGAUCAUCCAUAAAUUCAAACCAUGAGUAGGGCAAUUGCGAAUCAUCAAUUUCAUUCUUUCCCAAGAUUGGGCAACAUGCUCAUGAUCAAAUUGUUUAAAAUUCAUAAUAUCGUUCCUAAGAGAGAUGAUCUUAGCGGGAGGAAAAUACUUAGCGAUAAAAGCAUCUUUGCACUUAUUCCACGAAUCAAUACUGUUCUUAGGCAAAGACGAAAACCAAACUUUAGCAAGAUCUCUAAGUGAAAACGGAAAUAACUUAAAUUUAACAAUAUCAUUAUCCAUAUCUUUCUUCUUUUGCAUCUCACAUAAAUCAACAAAGUUGUUUAAAUGGGUAGCGGCAUCUUCACUAGGAAGGCCGGAGAAUUGAUCUUUCAUAACAAGAUUCAGCAAAGCAACAUUGAUUUCACAAGACUCAACAUCAUUAAGAGGAGCAACCAGAGUACUAAGGAAAUCAUUAUUAUUGGUAUUGGAAAAAUCACACAAUUUAGUAUUAUCUUGCGCCAUUGCGACAAGCAAUCCAACACACAAGCAACCAAAAAGGCAAGCGAAAGAGAGACGAGAUUGGGAAAGAGAGGGCGAAUAAAACGGCAAGGGUGAAGUGGGGGAGAGGAAAACGAGAGGCAAAUGGCAAAUAAUGUAAAUGCGAGGGAGAUGAGUUUGUGAUGGGUACUUGGUAUGUCUUGACUUGAGCGAAGACCUCCCCGGCAACGGCGCCAGAAAUCCUUCUUGCUACGUCUUGAUCUUGUGUUGGUUUUCCUUGAAGAGGAAAGGGUGAUGCAGCAAUAGUAGCGUAAGUAUUUCCCUCAUUUUUUGAGAACCAGGGUAUCAAUCUAGUAGGAGGCUCCUCAAAAGUCCCACGCACCUACACAAACAAACAAGAACUCGCAACUAACGCAAUAAAGGGGUUGUCAAUCCCUUCACGGCCACUUGCAAAAGUGAGAUCUGAUAGAGAUAAUAUGAUAAGAUAAAUAUAUUUUUGUUAUUUUAUAAUAUGGAUUGGAAAAGUAAAGAUGCAAAUAAAAGUAGAUGGCAAACUUAUAUGAUAAAAGAUAGACCCGGGAGCCAUAGGUUUCACUAGUGGCUUCUCUCAAGAUAACAUAAGUGUUACGGUGGGUGAACAAAUUACUGUCGAGCAAUUGAUAGAAAAGCGAAUAGUUAUGAGAUUAUCUAGGCAUGAUCAUGUAUAAAGGCAUCACGUCCGUGACAAGUAGACCAAAACGAUUCUGCAUCUACUACUAUUACUCCACACAUCGACCGCUAUCCAGCAUGCAUCUAGAGUAUUAAGUUCAUAAAGAACAGAGUAAUGCAUUAAGAAAGAUGACAUGAUGUAGAGGUAUAAACUCAUGCAAUAUGAUAUAAACCCCAUCUUUCUAUCCUCGAUGGCAACAAUACAAUACGUGCCUUGCUACCCCUGCUGUCACUGGGAAAGGACACCGCAGGAUUGAACCCAAAGCUAAGCACUUCUCCCAUUGCAAGAAAUAUCAAUCUAGUAGGCCAAACCAAACUAAUAAAUCAAAGAGACUUGCAAAGAUAACUUAAUCACACAUAAAAGAAUUCAGAGGAGAUUAAAAUAUUUCUCAUAGAUAAACUUGAUCAUAAACUCACAAUUCAUCGGAACUCGACAAACACACCGCAAAAAGAGUUACAUCGAAUAGAUCUCCAAGAAGAUCGAGGAGAACUUUGUAUUGAGAUUCAAAGAGAGAGAAGAAGCCAUCUAGCUAAUAACUAUGGACCCGAAGGUCUGUGGUAAACUACUCACAACUCAUCGGAAGGGCUAUGGUGU